This 375-nucleotide ribosomal RNA is filed under the name uncultured Legionella sp. RNAcentral describes it as "bacterial SSU rRNA". It matches the Rfam family "Bacterial small subunit ribosomal RNA", at positions 284 to 651 of the family's 1533-position model. The record is from RNAcentral. Lineage: Bacteria; Pseudomonadati; Pseudomonadota; Gammaproteobacteria; Legionellales; Legionellaceae.
UAGCUGGUCUGAGAGGAUGRCCAGCCACACUGGAACUGAGACACGGUCCAGACUCCUACGGGAGGCAGCAGUGGGGAAUAUUGGACAAUGGGGGAAACCCUGAUCCAGCAAUGCCGCGUGUGUGAAGAAGGCCUGAGGGUUGUAAAGCACUUUCAGUGGGGAGGAGGGUUGAUAGGUUAAGAGCUAAUUAAUUGGACGUUACCCACAGAAGAAGCACCGGCUAACUCCGUGCCAGCAGCCGCGGUAAUACGGAGGGCGCGAGCGUUAAUCGGAAUUACUGGGCGUAAAGGGUGCGUAGGUGGUUUAUUAAGUUAUCUGUGAAAUCCCUGGGCUUAACCUGGGCAGGUCAGAUAAUACUGGUUAACUCGAGUAUGG